This 497-nucleotide ribosomal RNA is filed under the name uncultured bacterium. RNAcentral describes it as "partial 16S ribosomal RNA". It matches the Rfam family "Bacterial small subunit ribosomal RNA", at positions 28 to 507 of the family's 1533-position model. The record is from RNAcentral.
GAUGAACGCUGGCGGCGUGCCUAAUACAUGCAAGUCGAGCGAACGGACGAGAAGCUUGCUUCUCUGAUGUUAUCGGCGGACGGGGGAGUAACACGUGGAUACCCUACCUAUAAGACUGGGAUAACUUCGGGAAACCGGAGCUAAUACCGGAUAAUAUUUUGAACCGAAUGGUUCAAAAGUGAAAGACGGUCUUGCUGUCACUUAUAGAUGGAUCCGCGCUGCAUUAGCUAGUUGGUAAGGUAACGGCUUACCAAGGCAACGAUGCAUAGCCGACCUGAGAGGGUGAUCGGCCACACUGGAACUGAGACACGGUCCAGACUCCUACGGGAGGCAGCAGUAGGGAAUCUUCCGCAAUGGGCGAAAGCCUGACGGAGCAACGCCGCGUGAGUGAUGAAGGUCUUCGGAUCGUAAAACUCUGUUAUUAGGGAAGAACAUAUGUGUAAGUAACUGUGCACAUCUUGACGGUACCUAAUCAGAAAGCCACGGCUAACUACGUG